CUUGCUGCUGCUGCUGCUGCUGCUGCUGCAGCUGCCGCUGCUGCUGCUGCUGCUUGCUGCUACUCAAGCUGACCGCAGGGAGAGAGAGACAAGAUGCAGGGAGAAAGACAAAAGAGAAAGGUUACAAGUCUUACCUCUUUUUCUUCUUCUUCUUCUUUCUCUUCUUCUCUUUUCUCUUCUUUUCUCCUUCUCUCUCUCUCUACGUAGGCAGGCUGAAGGGGGAUAAGGAUGGAGCUCCCCUGCUGGCAGGUUUAGUGGAAAUCCACUAAGCCAUGUGUAAUUACCAAAUUGCCCUCGACUUAUACUCCGUCGCGCAACUCGGAUCAAAUACCUUUCGUAGGCUCUUCCGAAAGUCCGAUUGAGCUCAAAAUUGGCAGGAAUGUUCGUUUUUACUUAACAAGUCCACUGAAAUUUUAACAUUUCAGUUUCGACCCCGUUUGGUCACUGCGAACUGUCCCGAACUGUAAUCUUUAUCCGAUAACUUCCAGAUGCUAUUUCUCUCUCUACAGGUGUCAGAAUAAUAUGAAACUUGAAAUCUGGCCUCACACCAAUGUUCCUGACAUCUCCGCCAAUUUUCAUAAUUUUCUGACACUGUGCAUUUUCUGCUAAUUUUC
This 614-nucleotide long non-coding RNA is filed under the name Ananas comosus (pineapple). Its description in RNAcentral is "long non-coding RNA (ACOM_LNC003925)". The record is from RNAcentral. Lineage: Eukaryota; Viridiplantae; Streptophyta; Magnoliopsida; Poales; Bromeliaceae.